UCCAUGGAAAUAGAUGACACUCUGCAAAAUUUGGAGUGAUGCUCUCAGUUCCAAAGCAUGUGGCCAUCAUCUCUUCUGGAGGCCUUUUCUUACAACUCCCUGUUCUGAAUUGUACAAGAAAAAUCAGAUACUUCAAUGGAUUCAGCCUUGACAUCUUCCAAGUCAGCAUCCUAAUAGCUGACAACAGAAAGAUAAAAACCAAGAAGCCCAUAUGAGAAGAAAUGUACUUUACACUCUCAUUCCAACAACAGAAGAGCCACAAAGAAUAAUGAAAUAUCUUGCUUAAUGGACCAAUCAA
Long non-coding RNA from Monodelphis domestica (gray short-tailed opossum), 298 nucleotides. RefSeq lists it as uncharacterized. The record is from RefSeq and is a predicted model, not a curated record. Lineage: Eukaryota; Metazoa; Chordata; Mammalia; Didelphimorphia; Didelphidae.